AUGAGGCUUUGUAAACUUUAAAGCAGUGUUCAUGCAUUCAUUUUUAUUCAUUCAACAAGCUUUAUGGCACUGUUAGGCACUUUCAAAAAGAAAAGAAACAAACAAAAGAUGCCCUCAAGUAGCUUACAUUCAUAAGAGGACGGAGAUCACGUAUGCAAAUGAGUAACUACAAAAGGUGUAUAAGGUCAUUUGGGCAGGGAGAUGGGAAUUAGCAAGCAGGGGGAUCUGGACGUGUCAGUCUAACAGGAACUAAACUUUGGGAAAAGGAGUGAUGAGCCUUGGAAGGCAGAAGUUACAGGCAGGCAAAAGUUGCAUUGUGAAGGGCUUUAAAUGCCAAAGAGUAGAAUUUGCAUGUUAUCCUCGAGGCAGUAAGGAAGCAUUAGAACAUCUUACAUAUGUAUAAAUCUGUUGCUAUGAUUGUUAUUGUUACUGUUAUUAUCAAGGUAAAAUAAUAAUAACAGUGCUUUAGGAUCACCCACUACAUCUACAAAAGCCUUAGGGGUGAGGAAACCUGGUUUUUAUACCAGAACAAUUUGAAACAAGUUAUUGUUACUGUUGUUUUAAAAUAUAUUUAAAUUAGGUUGCUGCCAGACUCCCUCCCUUCCCUUCUUUCUUCCUCAGUUCUAGGAUUAAAGGAUUGGGGGCUAGGUUGGACAGUGGAAUCAAGCAAUAGGAUAUCUAUUAUGUGCCCGCUGUGGCAUUCAGUGACAAAAGUGAAAUAGUCUCUGUCCUCAGGAAUGUUAUAUUCAGUUCGAAAUCCAUUCUCCUGUUACCAGAGUCAGAAUUAGGUGAAUAUUCCUUCGGUGCCUACAGUAUGUCAUUUUUUUUUCAUCAGUACCAACUCACUUUAUUGGGGUGUAAAUGGUGGUAGUUUUUUGGUACAGAUUAUGAAAAGGUCAGAUAACCAAAAUAUGCAUGCACUGAAAGACAGUAGGAGUCACUCCCACAGUUCCCAAGUGUGGGGGAAGCCAGGUGUGGCUUAGCUCUCGUUGUCACUGUCUCCAAGGGUGUGCUUGUCAAAAAGAUAUUCCGCCAUGCCAGAAUCGGGGGCCCCCAUUUUGCGCAGGUUGGAAAUCACAUAAAUGUGGGUCGUUCUUGUCAGUUGCCAGCUUGUGCAAUUCCAGUAAAGACUCAUUGACAUUUUUUUCCAAGUGCAGAGCACGCUCCAUUGCGUCCAGCCCACUCUCCCAGUCAUCUCGGUCUGGUUUCUUGAUGUCUUGCAGGAAGAUCCGACCACCUCGCUGGUUUUGCAGUUUCAUCAGCUUCUCAGCAUGCUCCCUCUCCUUGUGGGAUUGGUGUAGGAAAUAUUUGCAAAGUUCUUCAAUGCCACAUCAUCUUGGUCGAAGUAGUAAGACAUGGACAGGUAGACGUAGGAGGCGUAGAGCUCCAGGUUGAUCUUCCGGUUGAUGGCGGCCUCCGAGUCCUGGUGGUAAUUCUGUAGCACCU
Molecule: long non-coding RNA, 1446 nt
Organism: Phascolarctos cinereus (koala)
Lineage: Eukaryota; Metazoa; Chordata; Mammalia; Diprotodontia; Phascolarctidae
Source: Ensembl